RNAcentral lists this ribosomal RNA (253 nucleotides) under uncultured bacterium. RNAcentral describes it as "partial 16S ribosomal RNA". It matches the Rfam family "Bacterial small subunit ribosomal RNA", at positions 524 to 776 of the family's 1533-position model. The record is from RNAcentral.
GACGAACCGUGCGAACGUUGUUCGGAUUCACUGGGCUUAAAGGGCGCGUAGGCGGGUGGUCAAGUCAGGGGUGAAAGCCCACGGCCCAACCGUGGAAGUGCCUUUGAUACUGACUGUCUUGAGGGAGGUAGGGGCAUGCGGAACUUCCGGUGGAGCGGUGAAAUGCGUAGAUAUCGGAAGGAACGCCGGUGGCGAAAGCGGCGUGCUGGACCUCUUCUGACGCUGAGGCGCGAAAGCCAGGGGAGCGAACGGG